This 460-nucleotide ribosomal RNA is filed under the name uncultured bacterium. Its description in RNAcentral is "partial 16S ribosomal RNA". It matches the Rfam family "Bacterial small subunit ribosomal RNA", at positions 338 to 795 of the family's 1533-position model. The record is from RNAcentral.
CCUACGGGAGGCAGCAGUGAGGAAUAUUGGUCAAUGGGCGCGAGCCUGAACCAGCCAAGUCGCGUGAGGGAAGACGGCCCUACGGGUUGUAAACCUCUUUUGCCGGGGAGCAACGGGCGCCACGUGUGGCGCCACUGAGAGUACCCGGAGAAAAAGUAUCGGCUAACUCCGUGCCAGCAGCCGCGGUAAUACGGAGGAUGCGUGCGUUAUCCGGAUUUAUUGGGUUUAAGGGGUGCGUAGGCGGAGCGUUAAGUCAGUGGUAAAAUUGAGGGGCUAAACCCCUUCCCGCCAUUGAAACUGGCGCUCUUGAGUGGAAGAGAGGUAGGCGGAAUGCGUGGUGUAGCGGUGAAAUGCAUAGAUAUCACGCAGAACACCGAUUGCGAAGGCAGCAUGCCGGCUUCCGACUGACGCUGAAGCACGAAAGCGUGGGGAUCGAACAGGAUUAGAUACCCGAGUAGUC